RNAcentral lists this ribosomal RNA (106 nucleotides) under Salmonella enterica subsp. enterica serovar Enteritidis. The record is from RNAcentral. Lineage: Bacteria; Pseudomonadati; Pseudomonadota; Gammaproteobacteria; Enterobacterales; Enterobacteriaceae.
CACGCGCGGUGGUCCCACCUGACCCCAUGCCGAACUCAGAAGUGAAACGCCGUAGCGCCGAUGGUAGUGUGGGGUCUCCCCAUGCGAGAGUAGGGAACUGCCAGGC